UUAACUCAAAUUUGUAUGGAUUUAAAACAGCUUCCCUUUGCCACUAGGGGCGCUGUUCCGACUCCAUACAAAUUUGAGUUA
This is a non-coding RNA of Bombyx mori (domestic silkworm), 81 nucleotides long. Lineage: Eukaryota; Metazoa; Arthropoda; Insecta; Lepidoptera; Bombycidae. The record is from Rfam.